This 270-nucleotide ribosomal RNA is filed under the name uncultured Lachnospiraceae bacterium. RNAcentral describes it as "partial 16S ribosomal RNA". It matches the Rfam family "Bacterial small subunit ribosomal RNA", at positions 70 to 339 of the family's 1533-position model. The record is from RNAcentral. Lineage: Bacteria; Bacillati; Bacillota; Clostridia; Lachnospirales; Lachnospiraceae.
UUCGGGGAUGAUUGUUCUGUGACUGAGUGGCGGACGGGUGAGUAACGCGUGGAUAACCUGCCUCACACAGGGGGAUAACAGUCGGAAACGACUGCUAAUACCGCAUAAGCGCACAGCACCGCAUGGUGCAGUGUGAAAAACUCCGGUGGUAUGAGAUGGACCCGCGUCUGAUUAGCUAGUUGGUGGGGUAACGGCCUACCAAGGCGACGAUCAGUAGCCGACCUGAGAGGGUGACCGGCCACAUUGGGACUGAGACACGGCCCAAACUCC